Molecule: non-coding RNA, 154 nt
Filed under: human gut metagenome
Source: RNAcentral
GGUGCGGCGAGGGCUCGCCGCUGAAAAGGGAAGCCGGUGAAAAUCCGGCGCAGUCUUACCUCUACUGUAAGCGCGGACAAAGGCGUCAGACCCAUUGGCUCUGCCGAGAAGGGACGCCGGCGGAAGAAGCGCAAGCCAGGAGACCUGCCUUUUG